CCCGGGUCUUGUACACACCGCCCGUCACACCAUGGGAGCGGGUUCUGCCAGAAGUAGUUAGCCCAACCGCAAGGGGGGCGAUUACCACGGCAGGGUUCGUGACUGGGGUG
This 110-nucleotide ribosomal RNA is filed under the name uncultured bacterium. Its description in RNAcentral is "partial 16S ribosomal RNA". It matches the Rfam family "Bacterial small subunit ribosomal RNA", at positions 1373 to 1482 of the family's 1533-position model. The record is from RNAcentral.